RNAcentral lists this ribosomal RNA (1149 nucleotides) under Naemacyclus culmigenus. RNAcentral describes it as "eukaryotic LSU rRNA". The stretch from base 205 to 1149 matches the Rfam family "Eukaryotic large subunit ribosomal RNA", at positions 1 to 960 of the family's 3401-position model. The record is from RNAcentral. Lineage: Eukaryota; Fungi; Ascomycota; Leotiomycetes; Helotiales.
CGCACAUUGCACCCCCUGGUAUUCCGGGGGGUAUGCCUGUUCGAGCGUCACUAAACCCCUCAAGCCUAGCUUGGUAUUGGGGCGCGCCGGCCCCGGCGCCCCCUAAAAUCAGUGGCGGCUCGGCCCGGACUCCAAGCGUAGUAGAACACCUCGCUGGGGAGUAGGGGCUGGGAGCCUGCCAGAAGCCUAUCAACCUUCUAAGUUUGACCUCGGAUCAGGUAGGGAUACCCGCUGAACUUAAGCAUAUCAAUAAGCGGAGGAAAAGAAACCAAUAGGGAUUGCCUCAGUAACGGCGAGUGAAGCGGCAACAGCUCAAAUUUGAAAUCUGGCUCCGGCCCGAGUUGUAAUUUGUAGAGGAUGCUUAGGGUGUGGCUCCGGUCUAAGUUCCUUGGAAUAGGGCGUCACAGAGGGUGAGAACCCCGUAUGUGACCGGCUGCCUCCGCCCGUGUUAAGCUCCUUCGACGAGUCGAGUUGCUUGGGAAUGCAGCUCUAAAUGGGUGGUAAAUUUCAUCUAAAGCUAAAUACUGGCCAGAGACCGAUAGCGCACAAGUAGAGUGAUCGAAAGAUGAAAAGCACUUUGGAAAGAGAGUCAAAUAGUACGUGAAAUUGUUGAAAGGGAAGCGCUUGCAACCAGACUUGCGCGCGGCUGAUCAUCCGGCGUUCUCGCCGGUGCACUCGGCCGCGCUCAGGCCAGCAUCAGUUCUGGCGGUUGGAUAAAGGCCCGGGGAAUGUGGCUCCUCUCGGGGAGUGUUAUAGCCCCGGGCGCAAUGCAGCUUGCCGGGACUGAGGACCGCGCUCCGGCUAGGAUGCUGGCGUAAUGGUCGUAAGCGGCCCGUCUUGAAACACGGACCAAGGAGUCUAACAUCUAUGCGAGUGUUUGGGUGUCAAACCCAUGCGCGGAAUGAAAGUGAACGGAGGUGAGAGCCCUCAAGGGUGCAUCAUCGACCGAUCCUGAUGUCUUCGGAUGGAUUUGAGUAAGAGCAUAGCUGUUGGGACCCGAAAGAUGGUGAACUAUGCGUGAUUAGGGUGAAGCCAGAGGAAACUCUGGUGGAGGCUCGUAGGGGUUCUGACGUGCAAAUCGAUCUCAAAAAUUGCGUAUAGGGGCGAAAGACUAAUCGAACCAUCUGGAGGACCAACUGCUGGAUGGGA